This 295-nucleotide ribosomal RNA is filed under the name Litchfieldia luteola. RNAcentral describes it as "partial 16S ribosomal RNA". It matches the Rfam family "Bacterial small subunit ribosomal RNA", at positions 1 to 286 of the family's 1533-position model. Lineage: Bacteria; Bacillati; Bacillota; Bacilli; Caryophanales; Bacillaceae. The record is from RNAcentral.
CUAUUGGAGAGUUUGAUCCUGGCUCAGGACGAACGCUGGCGGCGUGCCUAAUACAUGCAAGUCGAGCGGUUCUUAGGAAGCUUGCUUCCUAAGAAUAGCGGCGGACGGGUGAGUAACACGUGGGCAACCUACCUAUAAGACUGGGAUAACUUCGGGAAACCGGAGCUAAUACCGGAUAAUAUAAGAGAUUACAUGAUCUUUUAUUGAAAGAUGGCUUCGGCUAUCACUUAUAGAUGGGCCCGCGGCGCAUUAGCUAGUUGGUGAGGUAACGGCUCACCAAGGCGACGAUGCGUAG